Molecule: RNA transcript, 3732 nt
Organism: Syngnathus acus (greater pipefish)
Lineage: Eukaryota; Metazoa; Chordata; Actinopteri; Syngnathiformes; Syngnathidae
Exons: 5
Source: RefSeq, a predicted model, not a curated record
GAUACUGUUCUGAGCUCAGCAAUCAGACUCCCUUGAAACCAAAGGUGCCCGACGUGUAGGAUCGCUGAUGGAGUCUUGUAUGUAUGCACCAGGAGUUCCACUCCCGCAAUGACGGUGUGCAUAUGUGUGUGACGAUAAAAAAAAAGAAAGAAAGGAGCCCGACGUGUGUUGGCGACACGCAGGAGCAGGGUCUGCCUUUCCGAGAGUCGUUUUGUUUUGCUCUUUGGGGGACAACAAAGCAGAUUGGAAGAGGAACUUUUCUCAAGCAGGGGCGUGGUUUCCAUUUGGCUCCGCUGAGGACACGAUGCAGGCGUGUGCACGUAUGGCUGCACCCUCGUGGGAUUCGUCAGCAGACAAAAUUUGGAACUAUCCCAGCGCACAGAACCCGUAUCAGUACCAGACACACGGUGGUGCCGAUUGGUCAACGACAUUCUCCAGUCAAGACGGCAGAUGCUACCAGAACGCCUCGGCUGUCCCCCACACCGGCUUCUCGAACCAGAAAUCGUCUGUGUGGAGCCCAGGAGCCAGUUCCUGCCCCCAAAGAGACGUUACAGCCUACCAGAAACCCUCAUCGGCAUUACAGGCCUUAUUCGGAAGGGUCGGUGGCCACAGCGUUGUACCCGAGCAGUUCUGUCAGAAUCCGUCAUCUUAUCCGCACAACGGCACACUCGCAACAAGUUUCCCUGGCCCCAACAGCAAUCAGACGCCUUGGCCGCAGCCGGACGCCAGGUCCACUUUACAGAACCCUUGGGAGAUUCACACCAGAAGGUUUGCUCAAGACGAUACGCAAUGGCACAUAAGACAUAGUGCUCAAGCCGUAGAGACCCAAGCAAAGAUGGCGGAGAGGACGUCAUUGGGCAAGCACGCGCAAUGCGCUCCGUAUUCAUCACCUCGCACAAUGCAGACACCAAAACAGCAAGCGGUGCAAGUGUUGCGUGUUCCCAGAGAGUCGUCACAGUCGAGCAAGCCUCACAGCAAUCGCAAGACGCCACCAAAUCCCAAUGCACUCAAACGCCUCACGACCGCCCGUUCGUCACGGAGUCGCUCAACUCGGCCAACGGUCGCUAGCGUGCGGCCUGUGCGAGAUGGAAGCCCACAGCUGGCUGGCCAAAUUCCUUCUGGCUUGAGUUGCAAUGACCAAACAGCAAGUCCAGUGAGGGAACGGCAGGACCAUCGUGCACCACCACAGUUCCAACCAGAAGAGCCUGAGGGUCGUGAAGAGAUGCCGCUCCUGCAGUCUCUGGCAACACGCAAGUGGACUUGUAAAGAUUUAGACGGACUUGUCCGGUACAUGGAGCAAGACUGGGAGAAGUCGCCUGAAUGUCCAGUCCUCUCAGGUUCUGAUGAUGUAAUCGCCACGUUCUGGAAAGAUAGAAAAAUACUGGAGGACAAGAUCCGCGCAGGCUUAUACUAUGAGAUCAUGGCAGAGACGUUCACUUUCUCCCGUGAGCAUGUGACCUCAGACUCUGUGGUGCUGUCGGAGCCCAAGUGCGACCCCAACCUCAGCGGCUUCCGGGUGCUGCGAGACGGCGAGGUCUACUCCGAACCGCCGUACUCUUCGUUCUGGCGCAACGUCAACCCGCUGCUCCACGACUCGUUGGAUCACGCACCAGUUGCAAGUCCACCUUUGUCAUCUGCGCCCGAGACCGCGGCGGCUCAGUCACCAGAGGCCGAACAAGAACCACUGGAACCAAAAGAAGAUGAAAAAGCACAACAGGCCCGAGUGCUGGGCUCUCCCGGUGAAGAUUCAGACGUCUACUCGUUCGUCAUUGAGGUUUUGCCCCAGGAACAGGCCAAAGCGAUCUACGAGAGUAUCAACCACGCAGAGGAGACUCCCGCCAAGGGGGACCCCCAAGGCUCAGCCGAGACUGCGACGAGCGCCGACAAAGGGGAGAAGGAUCUGUUUGAGUCAGAGUUGGAGUUUUUCUUUGAACAGUGGAAAGAUAUCCUCUCCGAUUUCAAUUUUUCCCCAAAACAAGAGAGGGCGCAGAAUGAGGUGCUAGCGGACAUGAGAUGGCAAAAUCCUGACCUCUCCCUCCUCGGUGUGGAUGCAGAUGAUCACUCCCUGGAUUCCAACCAGUCCCACAAUGCUUCUCCACUGAUAGAGCAGAAGGACCAUCAAGAAACGGGAAAGUUUGGCACACAAAAUGACCACGCGUGGGUAAAGCUUGAUGACCGAGAGAUGUCAAGCCAGCAAGAUGAGCGAGAAUUGGCUCACGUCUCCCAACAAGAUGAGCAAGAGACGGGAAAGGUCUCGCAACAAGAUGAGCCAGAGACGGGAAAGGUCUCCCAACAAGAUGAGCAAGAGACGGGAAAGGUCUCCCAACAAGAUGAGCCAGAGACGGGAACCGUCCCCCAAGGAACAGACACCCAACCAGAUCAGCAAGUGACGGGAAAGGUCUCACAACAAAGACAAGAAGAGACGGGAACGGCCACCCAACCAGAUGAGCAAGAGACGGUGGGAAAGGUCUGGCAACAAGAACAUGAAGAGACGGGAACGGCCACCCAACAGACGACAAAGGUCUCACCCAAAGACAAUGUCCGAGAAAGGACAAAUGUCUUAGUUUUACCAUCUAAAGUUUCUUGUCCACCCCACGGUCAUCGUAGUCGUGCCGCUAAAGUGUACCGAGGAGAGAGGACGCUCUGCCUUGCCGGUAAACGUGUGGCGGCUGCAAAGAAAAAACGCAAGAGAAGCAAGCAGUCCGUCAUCAGUGUCGCCUUCAUGAAGAAGCUGAAGAUCCACCUUGUCCGCCGGGACGUCAGCAAACGCAGCAAAGAAGCUGCGACUCCCAAGCUGGUCCUCUUUGGCUCGGCCGGACGUGGGCGCAGCUGCGCUCUGGACCAUCGCGCACCCGAGGUUCUAAGCGUCAACGCUAAAAGCCGGAGUUCCGCCAAACAGAGGAUCUACGAGGCUUGGUGUCUGCCCCCCGUCAAGAUCGACGGCAAAAGCAAAGUCCAAUCUCGGCACAAGUCCUGCGCGGACGUGGCCGGAAAAGACCCCCCUUUGCCCACCUUGACCUUCAGGAAAGCCCACGGCAGGCUGUCUGUCUUUGACCCGCAACACAAGAAGCUCCAGGCUAGACGGACCCACUGCUGAUGGGAUGCUGAGGAGCGGUACUGAGCGUCACUGCGGUGAACUUGAGUGGGCGAGAGAAAGACCAUCCCGGGAACGCCGCCUUGGCUCGGUUGCCAGGGGAACGUUCGCCGGGACAACGGCAACCACCCUGGCGACGGGUAAACUUUUGAUUUCAACCGUCAUGACGGCGACUUGCAGGCUCAAGUUGACACGAUCCAGAGCGCUUCUCCUGCCAACUGGGUUCCCUCCCAGCUGCCGUCGGCCAUUUGAGUGACCGCGACAGAGGUCGACAGAGCCAAACAACAUCUGAGGCCUCCCUUGGGAAGGACUCCUCGAGCCUCUGCAAUCUGGAAAUUCCCUUUGGCCCAUUUGUUCAUGUGACAGAUGACUCCAGUCACGUUCGCCGACAACCAGAUGGGCUUCUUCUUGGUUUAGUUUGGUUAAAUUUAUUGAACAUACAAACAUAACAUAAAAUGUUUAUAUUCAUGGGAAAUGAGAAUGUGUGGUAAAUUUUUAUUCUGGUAUCAUGCAAUGUAUAUCUCACUAGUAAGCCGAAGUGUGACCGGGUCAUGUUCGGGUCAGGUUCGUGCGGGAUUGUUUGGGGCUUGGUCCAGGAACGUAGACUCAUUGGCACCAGACACAUCUGGUUUCCAUUA